AUUGAACGCUGGCGGCAUGCCUUACACAUGCAAGUCGAACGGCAGCACGGGAGCAAUCCUGGUGGCGAGUGGCGAACGGGUGAGUAAUAUAUCGGAACGUGCCCGGUCGUGGGGAUAACGUAGCGAAAGCUACGCUAAUACCGCAUACGAUCUACGGAUGAAAGCGGGGGGAUCGCAAGACCUCGCGCGAUUGGAGCGGCCGAUAUCAGAUUAGGUAGUUGGUGAGGUAAAGGCUCACCAAGCCGACGAUCUGUAGCUGGUCUGAGAGGACGACCAGCCACACUGGGACUGAGACACGGCCCAGACUCCUACGGGAGGCAGCAGUGGGGAAUUUUGGACAAUGGGCGCAAGCCUGAUCCAGCAAUGCCGCGUGCAGGAUGAAGGCCUUCGGGUUGUAACUAGCUUUGUUACGGAACGAAACGGUGAGCUCUAAUACAGUUUGCUAAU
Molecule: ribosomal RNA, 447 nt
Filed under: uncultured bacterium
Lineage: Bacteria
Description: bacterial SSU rRNA
Rfam family: Bacterial small subunit ribosomal RNA
Source: RNAcentral